UGGGGAAUUUUGCGCAAUGGGCGAAAGCCUGACGCAGCGACGCCGCGUGUGCGAUGAAGGCCUUUGGGUCGUAAAGCACUGUCAAGAGGGAAGAAAGCUUCCGGACGAAUAAUCCGGAGGGAUGACGGUACCUCUAAAGGAAGCACCGGCUAACUCUGUGCCAGCAGCCGCGGUAAUACAGAGGGUGCAAACGUUGUUCGGAAUUACUGGGCGUAAAGAGCGUGUAGGCGGCUUGUUAAGUCGGCUGUGAAAGCCCAUGGCUCAACCAUGGAAGUGCAGUCGAUACUGGCAAGCUUGAGUUCUGGAGAGGGUGGUGGAAUUCCCAGUGUAGAGGUGAAAUUCGUAGAUAUUGGGAGGAACACCAGUGGCGAAGGCGACCGCCUGGACAGAUACUGACGCUGAGACGCGAAAGCGUGGGGAGCAAACAGGAUUAGAUACCCCCGUAGUCC
Molecule: ribosomal RNA, 449 nt
Filed under: uncultured prokaryote
Description: bacterial SSU rRNA
Rfam family: Bacterial small subunit ribosomal RNA
Source: RNAcentral